GCCAGACUCCUACGGGAGGCAGCAGUGGGGAAUAUUGGGCAAUGGGCGCAAGCCUGACCCAGCAACGCCGCGUGAAGGAAGAAGGCUUUCGGGUUGUAAACUUCUUUUCUCAGGGACGAAGCAAGUGACGGUACCUGAGGAAUAAGCCACGGCUAACUACGUGCCAGCAGCCGCGGUAAUACGUAGGUGGCAAGCGUUAUCCGGAUUUACUGGGUGUAAAGGGCGUGUAGGCGGGAAAGCAAGUCAGAUGUGAAAACCACGGGCUCAACCUGUGGCCUGCAUUUGAAACUGUUUCCCUUGAGUGUCGGAGAGGUAAUCGGAAUUCCUUGUGUAGCGGUGAAAUGCGUAGAUAUUAGGAGGAACACCAGUGGCGAAGGCGGCCUGCUGGACGACAACUGACGGUGAGGCGCGAAAGCGUGGGGAGCAAACAGGAUUAGAUACCCCCGUA
Molecule: ribosomal RNA, 448 nt
Filed under: uncultured bacterium
Lineage: Bacteria
Description: partial 16S ribosomal RNA
Rfam family: Bacterial small subunit ribosomal RNA
Source: RNAcentral